This 497-nucleotide ribosomal RNA is filed under the name uncultured bacterium. RNAcentral describes it as "partial 16S ribosomal RNA". It matches the Rfam family "Bacterial small subunit ribosomal RNA", at positions 28 to 507 of the family's 1533-position model. The record is from RNAcentral.
GGUGAACGCUGGCGGCGUGCCUAACACAUGCAAGUCGAGCGGAAGCACAAUAAGAUCUUGCUCCUAAGGUUAGCGGCUGACGGGCGAGUGACGCAUACAUAGGCUUCUUCUUUUUCGUGGGGGACAACGUGAAACAACUUAUGCUAAUACAUCAUACGUCCUACGGGAUGGAGCAAGAGUGCUUCAGGCCUUUCGCGUUUCUAUUAGCUGGAUUCGGGCUGCAUUAGCUAGUUGGUAAGGUAACGGCCUACCAAGGCGACGAUGCGUAGCUGACCUGAGAGGAUGAUCGGCCACACUGGAACUGAGACACGGUCCAGACUCCUACGGGAGGCAGCAGUGGGGAAUAUUGGGCAAUGGGCGCAAGCCUGACCGAGCAAUGCCGCGUGAGUGAAGAAGGUCUUCGGGUCGUAAAGCCCUUUUGUUGGGAAAGAACAGAAGUAUGAGAAUACGCCGCUGUCCUGACGGUACCCAAAGAAUAAGCACCGGCUAACUUCGUG